RNAcentral lists this ribosomal RNA (160 nucleotides) under Lasiodiplodia theobromae. RNAcentral describes it as "5.8S ribosomal RNA". It matches the Rfam family "5.8S ribosomal RNA". From Rfam's summary of the family: 5.8S ribosomal RNA (5.8S rRNA) is a component of the large subunit of the eukaryotic ribosome. It is transcribed by RNA polymerase I as part of the 45S precursor that also contains 18S and 28S rRNA. Lineage: Eukaryota; Fungi; Ascomycota; Dothideomycetes; Botryosphaeriales; Botryosphaeriaceae. The record is from RNAcentral.
AAAACUUUCAACAACGGAUCUCUUGGUUCUGGCAUCGAUGAAGAACGCAGCGAAAUGCGAUAAGUAAUGUGAAUUGCAGAAUUCAGUGAAUCAUCGAAUCUUUGAACGCACAUUGCGCCCCUUGCAUUCCGGGGGGCAUGCCUGUUCGAGCGUCAUUACA